CAAGUCGAACGAUGAUGCCCAGCUUGCUGGGCGGAUUAGUGGCGAACGGGUGAGUAAUACGUGAGUAACCUGCCCUUGACUCUGGGAUAAGCCUGGGAAACUGGGUCUAAUACUGGAUACUACCUCUUACCGCAUGGUGGGUGGUGGAAAGGGUUUUACUGGUUUUGGAUGGGCUCACGGCCUAUCAGCUUGUUGGUGGGGUAAUGGCUCACCAAGGCGACGACGGGUAGCCGGCCUGAGAGGGUGACCGGCCACACUGGGACUGAGACACGGCCCAGACUCCUACGGGAGGCAGCAGUGGGGAAUAUUGCACAAUGGGCGGAAGCCUGAUGCAGCGACGCCGCGUGAGGGAUGACGGCCUUCGGGUUGUAAACCUCUUUCAGUAGGGAAGAAGCGAGAGUGACGGUACCUGCAGAAGAAGCGCCGGCUAACUACGUGCCAGCAGCCGCGGUAAUACGUAGGGCGCAAGCGUUGUCCGGAAUUAUUGGGCGUAAAGAGCUCGUAGGCGGUUUGUCGCGUCUGCUGUGAAAGCCCGGGGCUCAACCCCGGGUCUGCAGUGGGUACGGGCAGACUAGAGUGCAGUAGGGGAGACUGGAAUUCCUGGUGUAGCGGUGAAAUGCGCAGAUAUCAGGAGGAACACCGAUGGCGAAGGCAGGUCUCUGGGCUGUUACUGACGCUGAGGAGCGAAAGCAUGGGGAGCGAACAGGAUUAGAUACCCUGGUAGUCCAUGCCGUAAACGUUGGGCACUAGGUGUGGGGGACAUUCCACGUUUUCCGCGCCGUAGCUAACGCAUUAAGUGCCCCGCCUGGGGAGUACGGCCGCAAGGCUAAAACUCAAAGGAAUUGACGGGGGCCCGCACAAGCGGCGGAGCAUGCGGAUUAAUUCGAUGCAACGCGAAGAACCUUACCAAGGCUUGACAUUCACCGGACCGCCCCAGAGAUGGGGUUUCCCUUCGGGGCUGGUGGACAGGUGGUGCAUGGUUGUCGUCAGCUCGUGUCGUGAGAUGUUGGGUUAAGUCCCGCAACGAGCGCAACCCUCGUUCUAUGUUGCCAGCACGUGAUGGUGGGGACUCAUAGGAGACUGCCGGGGUCAACUCGGAGGAAGGUGGGGAUGACGUCAAAUCAUCAUGCCCCUUAUGUCUUGGGCUUCACGCAUGCUACAAUGGCCGGUACAAAGGGUUGCGAUACUGUGAGGUGGAGCUAAUCCCAAAAAGCCGGUCUCAGUUCGGAUUGAGGUCUGCAACUCGACCUCAUGAAGUCGGAGUCGCUAGUAAUCGCAGAUCAGCAACGCUGCGGUGAAUACGUUCCCGGGCCUUGUACACACCGCCCGUCAAGUCACGAAAGUUGGUAACACCCGAAGCCGGUGGCCUAACCCCUUGUGGGAGGGAGCCGUCGAAGGUGGGACUGGCGAUUGGGACUAAGUCGUAACAAGGUAGCCGUACCGGAAGGUGCGGCUG
RNAcentral lists this ribosomal RNA (1456 nucleotides) under Kocuria rosea. RNAcentral describes it as "bacterial SSU rRNA". It matches the Rfam family "Bacterial small subunit ribosomal RNA". Lineage: Bacteria; Bacillati; Actinomycetota; Actinomycetes; Micrococcales; Micrococcaceae. The record is from RNAcentral.